This 350-nucleotide ribosomal RNA is filed under the name uncultured bacterium. Its description in RNAcentral is "bacterial SSU rRNA". It matches the Rfam family "Bacterial small subunit ribosomal RNA", at positions 28 to 376 of the family's 1533-position model. The record is from RNAcentral.
GAUGAACGCUAGCGGCAGGCUUAAUACAUGCAAGUCGUGGGGCAGCACAGUGUAGCGAUACAUGGGUGGCGACCGGCAAACGGGUGCGGAACACGUACGCAACCUUCCUUUAACUGGAGAAUAGCCCCUCGAAAGAGGGAUUAAUACUCCGUAAUAUCCCGAUGUGGCAUCAUGACGGGAUUAUAGCUCCGGCGGUUAGAGAUGGGCGUGCGCCUGAUUAGGAGUUGGCGGGGUAAUGGCCCACCAAGCCUGCGAUCAGUAACUGGUGUGAGAGCACGACCAGUCACACGGGCACUGGAGACACGGGCCCACUCCUACGGGAGCAGCAGUAAGGAUAUUGGUCAAUGGAC